AGGUACUGUUAUACUUUGGCUGUAGCAGCACCAUGACAGCUUGAUUUUGCUCGGUCUCCUUCUUCGGGCUCUUGAAGCAUGGAUUGUCUCGAGAAAUUGGAAUAGAUUGGUGAUGGUGAAGGCAAAAAUGGAUGCAUGCACAUGGCAGCAAAAGGGACAAUCUUGGAUGCACUUUGUGUUGGUUUCAUCUGAAGCUGAGACAGAGUGUGUUGUAUUGUGCAAAAGUGGCAAGGAUAUGAGAAUAUGGCCAUCUAAGUGUGCUGAUCUUUUGGUUUGGAUUUGCUCUGGAGGACUUUUUGAUCUAAAAAGGUGAGAUAUUCUCAUGUAGUACCCAUUUCUCCUUUCUAUUAGUUUAACUCUGGCGGAGAUACCAUUUUGGUUUCAUCUUGAUAGAGACACUUAGAAAGAGACUUGAAAAGUUAUCCCGAUUAAAUACUAUAAUUUGGCAAUUGGUUGGUGUAGGAUCACAUAUAUAUCUUUUGUACCUUCUGAUUUGCAACCUAGAUGAAAAUAAAUACGAAUCAUACUACACUCUAGCGAUGACUAACUGAAUGUCGCAACCUAGAUGAAAAUAAAUACGAAUCAUACUACACUCCAGCGACAACUAAUUGAAUGUAUUAGAGCAACAACAUCGAAAAAGGGUCACUUGGAGCACUUACCUUCGUCAUUACAAAGAAGUACUGCUGAGUGAGAGAUCUACAUGAUCAAAAUGUGAGAAUAUGACGCAAUUCCGGCGGUAAUCUCUCAUGCUACUGCCUUAGCAUUUGCGACUAAUUUUUGCUUAUUUCUUUUACACUCUUUUUACCUGCUAAUGUUUAUGUGUCAGUAUUUUCUAUACAGACUAAUACAUCACAUACACCAUUGUAUAAAACUCCAGUGGUUGCAAUUUAAUGAAUCAUAGAGAUCUACAUACUGGUGACCGGCCGGACUGCUAAUCUUAAUUUUAUAUUCGAGUUGAAUGCUUUUGGACAAGACAGAAUUUCCCUGGAAAGUCAAACAGAAUCAUGUGUUUCGCAGUUACACGCUUGAAGCACCUUGCAGUCAGUGCUCCAGCAUUGUCUUUCAAGAGGGACAGCUAAAUCAACUCUUCCAACUGUAGCAAUUUUCAGUUUUGUUGGUUCUGUAGGGGGUCGGGAAGACUCAGAUUUAAUGUGGCUCUAAAUGGAUGUAGAUAAAAAGGAUGAUACUGAAGACAAAGGUGGUCUUACAAAUGAGCAUAACUAAUAAUUAUGAAUGUGUAGCUGUUGGAGACGUUUCUCUCGGUCCUGUGAUUAUGAAAGCGAUUCUAGACAACAUGCUUCUGAUAGUGAUGAGCUCCUUACAGGGAUGGGUGUGGUGUAAGCGAUAGCAACAAUAAUUCAGGUUAAGAUGUCACUACUAUUCUGGAAACGACAGUUUUUCAUCUAGCUAAUUUUGUUUUUUAUUUAUCGAUUUAGUUGUA
Papaver somniferum (opium poppy) is the source of this 1441-nucleotide long non-coding RNA. RefSeq lists it as uncharacterized. The transcript has 8 exons. NCBI's taxonomy places the organism in Eukaryota, Viridiplantae, Streptophyta, Magnoliopsida, Ranunculales, Papaveraceae. The record is from RefSeq and is a predicted model, not a curated record.